This 427-nucleotide ribosomal RNA is filed under the name uncultured bacterium. RNAcentral describes it as "bacterial SSU rRNA". It matches the Rfam family "Bacterial small subunit ribosomal RNA", at positions 355 to 774 of the family's 1533-position model. The record is from RNAcentral.
UGGGGAAUAUUGGACAAUGGGCGCAAGCCUGAUCCAGCAAUGCCGCGUGUGUGAAGAAGGCCUUCGGGUUGUAAAGAACUUUUAUCAGGAGCGAAAUACUACCGAUUAAUACUCGGUGGGGCUGACGGUAACUGAGGAAUAAGCACCGGCUAACUACGUGCCAGCAGCCGCGGUAAUACGUAGGGUGCGAGCGUUAAUCGGAAUUACUGGGCGUAAAGCGUGCGCAGGCGGUUAUGCAAGACAGGUGUGAAAUCACCGGGCUCAACCUGGGAACUGCACUUGUGACUGCAUGACUAGAGUGCGUCAGAGGGAGGUGGAAUUCCGCGUGUAGCAGUGAAAUGCGUAGAGAUGCGGAGGAACACCGAUGGCGAAGGCAGCCUCCUGGGAUGACACUGACGCUCAUGCACGAAAGCGUGGGGAGCAAACA